GAUCCUAAGAGACGGGGGAAGCCCGUCUGAUAGCGCGUUCAGCGCGAGCUUCGAAAGGGAAUCGGGUUAAAAUUUCUGAACCGGGAUGCGGCGGCUGACGGCAACGUUAGGGAGUCCGGAGACGUCAGCGGGGGCCUUGGAAAGAGUUAUCUUUUCUGUUUAAAGGCCUGCCCACCCUGGAAAUGGCUCAGUCGGAGGUAGGGUCCAGCGGCCGGAAGAGCACCGCACGUCGCGUGGUGUCCGGUGCGCCCCCGGCGG
Molecule: non-coding RNA, 258 nt
Filed under: Gossypium arboreum
Lineage: Eukaryota; Viridiplantae; Streptophyta; Magnoliopsida; Malvales; Malvaceae
Description: Eukaryotic large subunit ribosomal RNA
Rfam family: Eukaryotic large subunit ribosomal RNA
Source: Rfam by way of RNAcentral